GGGCAGGUGGCGGAAAAGGAAGACGCGCAAGGUUCAGGGCCUUGUGGUUUAAAACCGUGAGGGUUCGAAUCCCUCCCUGCCCACAA
RNAcentral lists this transfer RNA (86 nucleotides) under bacterium. RNAcentral describes it as "tRNA-Leu". It matches the Rfam family "tRNA". Rfam says of the family: Transfer RNA (tRNA) molecules are approximately 80 nucleotides in length. Their secondary structure includes four short double-helical elements and three loops (D, anti-codon, and T loops). Further hydrogen bonds mediate the characteristic L-shaped molecular structure. tRNAs have two regions of fundamental functional importance: the anti-codon, which is responsible for specific mRNA codon recognition, and the 3' end, to which the tRNAs corresponding amino acid is attached (by aminoacyl-tRNA synthetases). tRNAs cope with the degeneracy of the genetic code in two manners: having more than one tRNA (with a specific anti-codon) for a particular amino acid; and 'wobble' base-pairing, i.e. permitting non-standard base-pairing at the 3rd anti-codon position. The record is from RNAcentral.